GAACUGUUGUGAUAUCUUUUCUUUAUUCGUCCGCUUAGUAAACAUCAUCAUCAAUCAAACAUGAGGUGUGGGUUUGCUGUGAUUGCAUGAAACAUCAGCAAGUUGAUCAACCAUUUCCGUAGAAUCAAACUUUGAGUUCUGGAUUUUGCUUAUUAUCCUUUCAUGUGCUUGUACUUCCCUUGAGAAAAAAAAUGAUGCAGUAUCAGAGAUUAAUCAUCCACCAUGGAAGUAAAGAAGAGAGGUUUAGAGUUUCAGUAGAGUAAGAUGGUGGUGGAUUGAAGAUUGCUAAAUAAAUAUUUCUCGCCUUUCUCCUAAUGUCUAUCCUCUCUUGCUCUUUCAUCCUGUAUUUUUAUCUCUUCGGCUUAUCCAUUCUCUCUCUCUCUCUCUCUCUCUCUCUCUCUCUUGUAGGUUCAUUUAGCAGAGAAAGGGAAGGUCUUAGGUCUUAUGAGCCACUCAUUGCCCCUCUCUGCUCAGAAAUCUCCAAUGGAACCAAUUGUUGUGACAGAAACGGAUUGAGAUCAUACCAUUCUGUUCAUCUCCACCAAAAAAAAAACGAACCUCGAAAAGAUCAUACCUUACACCAGAAAAUGUGAGACUAGCGUGAUGGAACUGUUCAAGAACUCAAACUUCUCACAAUAUGAUUCAUAAACUCAUAUAAUCGGGUUGGAUCUCACUAGAUUCAACGGAUUCUGUAAUGAAUGGUUUGUGUAACUGGUUAUAGGUGAUACAGUCGUACGGCUAUCAGUCCGUAUACUCAUGUUUCUCAAUUGCUUUGAAGAAAAGCAGAGGGAGAGAGGCAAUGUGAACAAGAGGACGGUAAACCAUAGCAGUAAACUUGUUCAUUGUUGAAGAAAGGAAGCUGCUUCUUUUCCUGUUCAAUAAUAUGUUGAAGAGUGGUUAUUUCCUUUUCCUCAGCAAAUGCAUUAAGAAUCAUCCUAGUAGAUGUAUGGUCCCGUGGGGUCAUCUUCUAUGCUCUGAGUCAUAAGGAGAUCACCUUCCUGUUAGGACCAAUAAUCACUUGAAGAUGAGGCCGACGGUUACCAUCAGUCCAUAGUUUAUUAUAAGUUAGGCUAAGAUGAGUGAUGAAACUGUUGCAGACGUAAUCUAGAGUGAGUAAUGGAAUCUAAAUAGUAAGUGGUUACUGUUUUUUGUCCCAUUGAACAGAGCAAGCAAGUUGCAUCAUGGGCUAUACUCCAAUUUAGAGGGAAGAGUAACACACACAUGCAUAACGUGUUAGUGGGGAAAGUUUCAGAUUCCAGAAUAUUGAGUUCCAAACAACUGUCGGAACUGUGAGAUGAAUAAAAUUUCAUAUUUUCUGCUACCGAGAGAGGUAUAUAUGUCUUCCACUACAGCUGAAAAACAUGUAUCUACCUUUGUACUUCUUAAUGUCAUGUGCUCAGCUUGGUUAAAACAACU
Raphanus sativus (radish) is the source of this 1416-nucleotide long non-coding RNA. RefSeq lists it as uncharacterized. The transcript is spliced from 4 exons. The record is from RefSeq and is a predicted model, not a curated record. NCBI's taxonomy places the organism in Eukaryota, Viridiplantae, Streptophyta, Magnoliopsida, Brassicales, Brassicaceae.